Molecule: ribosomal RNA, 440 nt
Filed under: uncultured bacterium
Lineage: Bacteria
Description: bacterial SSU rRNA
Rfam family: Bacterial small subunit ribosomal RNA
Source: RNAcentral
CCUACGGGUCGCAGCAGGGGGGAAUAUUGGACAAUGGGCGAAAGCCUGAUCCAGCAAUGCCGCGUGUGUGAAGAAGGUCUUCGGAUUGUAAAGCACUUUCGACGGGGACGAUGAUGACGGUACCCGUAGAAGAAGCCCUGGCUAACUUCGUGCCAGCAGCCGCGGUAAUACGAAGGGGGCUAGCGUUGCUCGGAAUGACUGGGCGUAAAGGGCGCGUAGGCGGUUUAUGCAGUCAGAUGUGAAAUCCCCGGGCUUAACCUGGGAACUGCAUUUGAGACGCAUAGACUAGAGGUCGAGAGAGGGUUGUGGAAUUCCCAGUGUAGAGGUGCAAUUCGUAGAUAUUGGGAAGAACACCGGUGGCGAAGGCGGCAACCUGGCUCGAUACUGACGCUGAGGCGCGAAUGCGUGGGGAGCAGACAGGAUUAGAUACCCCGGUAGUC